UGAGGUAGCAUCCUGCCCUAUUAAGUAUGCAGAUAUGGAGAACAUUCAGUAAGAUAGCUUUUCAUUAUUUAUUUAGGCAGAACAUACAGUACUUGAAAUCUGUGGGUUGCCAUGAGGUUCCCAUGGCAACUCUUCUAUGGAUAAGAAUGCUUGACUAGGCUGGUAGACUUGCUGUUACCAUCACCAGCCAUACCAUCAUUUGAGGAUACAGUACUCUCCCCUCAUCUGUGCUGUCACUUUUCGUGGUUUCAGUUACCUUCAGUCAACCAUGGUCUGAAAAUAGCCUCUUUUUCUGUCUUCAGAUACUACUUUGAAAACAAGAUGAAAGCCAUGGAAUCUCCCGAGAAAAAUGUACAUCUUACAGACUUUCAGUGAGUUCUGGAAUACCAGGAACCAGAGCCCACACUAAUGAACAGCAGUUUCCUAACCUAAUGCGAGAGAUUUGAGAUUUCUUCUGGCUCCCAUGAUCUUCUAAUUGUCUUCUUAGCAAGACUAAACACAUCUCCAAGAAAUGUGCACUGCCAUGAAUGUCUUCCAGCUAUCUUCUAUGACAGCACUUCCCAGUGUGUUCUGUGGAAUAAUGGUACAGGGUGAUAUUCUAUGAAGAAAAAUACGGAAAGUAAUAUACUCCACAGUCCGUAUAUUAGAUCGGACUAAUAAAAAUAAAUAUGGAAAGUAAUAUAUUCCACAGUCAUAUAUUAGAUCGCCUACACAACAGCAAUUUGAUAUAGUUUAAUAGGAUUUGAAUGAAUAAAAUUAAUGCCCACAGCUACUUUCUUCUGCCGGUAAAUAUUUUUCUGCCCAUAAUCUUGCUAAACAGAAUUCAUCUGAACUUACGUUGUUGCCAACAAAUAUACGAACAAUUAUACCUAAUCAAAAACAAAAACCAAACUGAUGUUAAAGAAAAUUAAUCAUUUGCUUUGAAUAAAUCAACUAUUAAGAAAGCUUAUAUAAUUGAGCCUAACAGUGCCAAAUCAUGUCUGAGAUGAAAUGCUGCAUGAUACAUAAUCAAACAGACAUUUGCAAGAGCUGUGGGUUGGGGGAGAGUGCAAAUGUUUCCCAGCACUCCUGUAUGUCAUGGGAGCACACAAUAAAACACUUGAAAAGCUGCAAUAAUAAAAGGUUUAAAGAGCUGCAAUAAUAGGUUUUGCACACUGUAGUGGCUACUGACACUGAGAACAUUUUAGAAGUUCAUCUCUAUCAUCCAAACACUACACACCACCAUAUCUAUCUAUUACGUUUUAAUAGGAAUUCUAUACUAAUAUUUUAUCCCUUUGCAUCUGCUCUAUUUUACUAUUUGGGUCAUAUCUCUUGUUAGAAACAAUGUUUGGCCCAUCUAUCCUCAAUAUAAAUAAAAAGCUUUUACCACAUAAACAAGGUCAGUUUGUUCUGUUUGAAAGAUGGAGUAAUGGAACUAACUGUAAGAUAUGCAAUGUAAAAUUUAUUCCCAUUUCACCUUUAUAUGAGUAGAAAUGAAAGGGUACUCAACUAAAAUAUGCG
Molecule: long non-coding RNA, 1500 nt
Filed under: Homo sapiens (human)
Lineage: Eukaryota; Metazoa; Chordata; Mammalia; Primates; Hominidae
Description: HSALNT0323245
Source: RNAcentral